GCACCAAUUCUCUUCACAUCUUUUCUUUGAACUGGGGCUCUGCUUAGCUUGCUGAGCUUGCACUCUGCUUUAUGAGCCCACUGACUCAAAAUAUUUAGACUUAUUAUAAAGUAAAAAGAACACUGAAAGUAGUUCAUAAAAGACAAAAUUUUGCUUGAAAAGAAUACUAAGGGCCACUGGGGAGCCCCAAAUGAUGGCUCUUAAGCCAACAGUAUAGUGCAAGAGAGGGGUGCCUUCUUUUUCAUAUAAGGAGGAUAUCGCCCUAUCUUCCUUGCAAGUAGUUGCAACAAACCGAUAAGGGACAAAGUCCCACAUCUUCUUUUUCUUUUUGACUCUAUAUUUUAUUGGUAGUAUCUUU
This 358-nucleotide unclassified non-coding RNA is filed under the name Hevea brasiliensis (rubber tree). The record is from RNAcentral. Lineage: Eukaryota; Viridiplantae; Streptophyta; Magnoliopsida; Malpighiales; Euphorbiaceae.